UACGGAGGGGGCUAGCGUUGUUCGGAAUUACUGGGCGUAAAGCGCACGUAGGCGGCUUUGUAAGUUAGAGGUGAAAGCCCGGGGCUCAACUCCGGAAUUGCCUUUAAGACUGCAUCGCUUGAAUUGUGGAGAGGUGAGUGGAAUUCCGAGUGUAGAGGUGAAAUUCGUAGAUAUUCGGAAGAACGCCAGUGGCGAAGGCGACUCACUGGACACAUAUUGACGCUGAGGUACGAAAGCGUGGGGAGCAAACAGG
Molecule: ribosomal RNA, 253 nt
Filed under: uncultured bacterium
Lineage: Bacteria
Description: partial 16S ribosomal RNA
Rfam family: Bacterial small subunit ribosomal RNA
Source: RNAcentral